UACACUGUCAAUUUCAUUUGACUAAACGACGGUUUUUAAGAUUAAUCGAUUACCUUGGGAAAAGUAUACUUCGAUAAGAUCUCCAACAGUUGACAACGCGACACGCAACCGUCACUGCGAAAUUGAAGAUUAUGAGCCGCGUGCAACGUCGCAAGGUAAUUCGAAAUACUGCGAGAGACUCGUCACGAAGUCGACGACGGUGACCGUAGCUGACAGGAAGGAAAAUCACGAGGUAAUCGUGGCGCGAGCGGCAACGUACGCCAUCCACUCGUGUCGGCAGUCGGGCGUGCACUGCCUUCCUGAGUUGCCGGUUGGUUCUCGAUCCUCGACUCUGUUCGCUCGACUCGCUCGCUUGUUCGCGGCCUCCAUCCCCGUAUCGCACUACGGCCGCGAUGCUCGAUGCUACACUCCGCUACAACAUUUAUAGCAGACUUACAUGGGUUUUCGUCCAAGAAGAGAAGCUAUUGUGUCAACAAUAAUGGCUGGUAUUAUAUGAAGGAACAAA
Molecule: long non-coding RNA, 505 nt
Filed under: Megachile rotundata (alfalfa leafcutting bee)
Lineage: Eukaryota; Metazoa; Arthropoda; Insecta; Hymenoptera; Megachilidae
Description: uncharacterized LOC105661920, transcript variant X2
Source: RNAcentral